AGUGAACGCUGGCGGUAGGCCUAACACAUGCAAGUCGAACGGCAGCACAGUAAGAGCUUGCUCUUACGGGUGGCGAGUGGCGGACGGGUGAGGAAUACAUCGGAAUCUACUUUUUCGUGGGGGAUAACGUAGGGAAACUUACGCUAAUACCGCAUACGACCUACGGGUGAAAGCAGGGGAUCUUCGGACCUUGCGCGAUUGAAUGAGCCGAUGUCGGAUUAGCUAGUUGGCGGGGUAAAGGCCCACCAAGGCGACGAUCCGUAGCUGGUCUGAGAGGAUGAUCAGCCACACUGGAACUGAGACACGGUCCAGACUCCUACGUGAGGCAGCAGUGGGGAAUAUUGGACAAGGGGCGCAAGCCUGAUCCAGCCAUACCGCGUGGGUGAAGAAGGCCUUCGGGUUGUAAAGCCCUUUUGUUGGGAAAGAAAAGCAGCAGGUUAAUACCCCGCUGUUCUGACGGUACCCAAAGAAUAAGCACCGGCUAACUUCGU
Molecule: ribosomal RNA, 491 nt
Filed under: uncultured bacterium
Lineage: Bacteria
Description: partial 16S ribosomal RNA
Rfam family: Bacterial small subunit ribosomal RNA
Source: RNAcentral